RNAcentral lists this long non-coding RNA (525 nucleotides) under Calidris pugnax (ruff). RNAcentral describes it as "lncRNA (ENSCPUG00000009705.1)". Lineage: Eukaryota; Metazoa; Chordata; Aves; Charadriiformes; Scolopacidae. The record is from RNAcentral.
AUGUGUGGGGAGUCACGACUUUGGGAAAAAAAGAGAGAAAACGCGUUUAUUUGGGGAGGGGGGAGGCCCCGCUAUGGGGCAGAAAUCCCUGCUAUGGGGCAGGGAUUGCCCUCUAUGGGGCAGAGACCGCGCUGUGGGGCACAAAACCCCUCGCUGUGGGGCAGAGACCGCGCUGUGGGGCACGGACUCCCACCCCCGGCCCGCACUUGUGGGGCGCAGGGACCCACAGGUUGGGGGUUUUUGACGCCUGGGGGAGGGGGCACCCCACAUCCUGCCCCACAUCUGUGGGUCCGAGGGCCGGGACCCCGGGAGGUUCCUUCUGUGGGUCUGGGGCACUGGGGUCCCCAAAUGUGUGGGUCCCGGACCCCUGACUCCCCCCACGUGUGGGUCAGAGACAUCUGGGGCCGCAAAUAUAUGGGUCCCAGCCUCCUGAACCCCCACAUCUGUGGGUCUGGGACCCCUGACUUGCCCCACAGGUGGGUCCCAGACACCAGAUCUGUGGGUCUGGGACACCCAACUUCUUAG